AGAGUUUGAUCCUGGCUCAGGAUGAACGCUAGCUACAGGCUUAACACAUGCAAGUCGAGGGGCAUCAGUUUGGUUUGCUUGCAAACCAAAGCUGGCGACCGGCGCACGGGUGAGUAACACGUAUCCAACCUGCCUCAUACUCGGGGAUAGCCUUUCGAAAGAAAGAUUAAUACAAGAUGGCAUCAUGAGUCCGCAUGUUCACAUGAUUAAAGGUAUUCCGGUAGACGAUGGGGAUGCGUUCCAUUAGAUAGUAGGCGGGGUAACGGCCCACCUAGUCUUCGAUGGAUAGGGGUUCUGAGAGGAAGGUCCCCCACAUUGGAACUGAGACACGGUCCAAACUCCUACGGGAGGCAGCA
Molecule: ribosomal RNA, 356 nt
Filed under: uncultured bacterium
Lineage: Bacteria
Description: bacterial SSU rRNA
Rfam family: Bacterial small subunit ribosomal RNA
Source: RNAcentral